Molecule: ribosomal RNA, 447 nt
Filed under: Triticum aestivum (bread wheat)
Lineage: Eukaryota; Viridiplantae; Streptophyta; Magnoliopsida; Poales; Poaceae
Description: partial small subunit ribosomal RNA
Source: RNAcentral
AUGAAUAGUACAAAUUGCGCCACAAUGAGUUGGAACGUGCGAGGGCUAAAUUCGCUAGCCAGAAGAGACACGGCUUGCGAGGUAGCAUACACCCAUAGGCUAGUCGUGUUGUGCCUUCAAGAGACCAAAACUGAAACUUGGUCCCCAACGCUAGUGAAAGAAGUAGGAGGUAGCCGUUUAGACGCCUGCACGGUCCUGCCGGCAGACGGCACGCGGGGAGGAGUUGCGAUCUUUUGGGACUCCUCCAAGAUCACCAUCAUCACCAAUGUGAUCAGCCAAUUCUCCAUCACAGCUUGAGCAACACUUCUGCACAGCAACAACUGCUUCUCGAUCACCACCGUCUACGGUCCAACCGACGACAACCACAAAGGUGCAUUCCAGGCAGAGUUGAUCAGGGUCAUGCCGCCAGUUGGGGAGCCUUGGUUAAUAACGGCGACUUCAACAUAA